This 91-nucleotide microRNA precursor is filed under the name Canis lupus familiaris (dog). RNAcentral describes it as "mir-8799 microRNA precursor family". It matches the Rfam family "mir-8799 microRNA precursor family". RNAcentral also lists the same sequence under 1 other name. Lineage: Eukaryota; Metazoa; Chordata; Mammalia; Carnivora; Canidae. The record is from Rfam by way of RNAcentral.
GGGGUGAGACAGGAUCUUGGGCUGUGUCCCCAGCGCACUGUGCUCCCGGGCCUGCGCCUUUGGAUUCGCGCUCCGGGCCGUGCAGCCCCCU